Molecule: long non-coding RNA, 917 nt
Filed under: Selaginella moellendorffii
Lineage: Eukaryota; Viridiplantae; Streptophyta; Lycopodiopsida; Selaginellales; Selaginellaceae
Description: long non-coding RNA (SMOE_LNC001883)
Source: RNAcentral
UCCAGAUCCAGAAGGUCAAAGCUCGUUCUUUGCACUCUCAGUACUUAGGCUUCUAAGCACUAAGCUUGCUAUGGCGAUUUGGUUUGGGCUUGUUGCCAUGUUUGUGAUGAUGCUGCUGGCCAUGGGAGUGGGCGGAGGAGUUGCAAAGGUUGCUGCCCAGCGCUGCCAGAGAGGACGGUAUUGGUAUGACAAUAGUUGCCACCGUUUCCAGAAAAACUGGCAUCGGUAUGGAAGCUGCUGUCGAUGUCAGAAUGAUUUGAGCCGGAAUGGCCACUGCGGGCGAAACUGAGAUUAGGUAAAUCUGGUUGCCAAAAAAAAAAACUAAAUAGAAUAAAGUGAUGAGGGCUCUCACUGGGGAAUGUGAUUUUCUUUACCGAGCUUUUAUGGUACCAGGAUGUCCAGUCCAGAGAUUUCUCGAGCAGCCAGAGAAUUCGAAGCCUGCUACUUGUCCAUUAUCUGUGGUACUAUUAUCGGAACCAAUUUGUCAACGAAUCUGAUCCUUCCCAGGACCAAGUCUCCAAGUCUAAUGCGGUGUGCGUCCGCCAAAAAUGCACCUAGAAACUUGCUCGGUCGUUGCAAGGGCGACUAUAUACUACCUCAACUCCAAAAUAAAUAUUUACUAAACAUGUCUGAUGCCCUAUGACCUUCAUAUAAACAGUUCAUCUAUCUUAAAGACUUAGGUUGUUCUUUUUACUUGCAGUAGCAGAAGGGAUCUGGUCCUAGUUACACUUCAUAACUUGAAUUGAGAACGAAUGAAGGUUAUAGACAUAACAUCACCAACAUGAAGAAAUACAGGUGAGAUUUCUGAUGUUUUUUGCCAUCAUAGGUGACCUAGAUUCGAUCUUUGGGGAGAAGCAAAGACAAAGUCCUCUGUCAUUUCACGAUUGGGGGAGAACGCCAACUCAAUGAGCCAGCAG